This 230-nucleotide ribosomal RNA is filed under the name uncultured bacterium. RNAcentral describes it as "partial 16S ribosomal RNA". It matches the Rfam family "Bacterial small subunit ribosomal RNA", at positions 562 to 791 of the family's 1533-position model. The record is from RNAcentral.
AAAGCGUGCGCAGGCGGUUAUGUAAGACAGAUGUGAAAUCCCCGGGCUCAACCUGGGAACUGCAUUAGUGACUGCAUAGCUGGAGUACGGCAGAGGGGGAUGGAAUUCCGCGUGUAGCAGUGAAAUGCGUAGAUAUGCGGAGGAACACCGAUGGCGAAGUCAAUCCCCUGGGCCUGUACUGACGCUCAUGCACGAAAGCGUGGGGAGCAAACAGGAUUAGAUACCCCGGU